This 599-nucleotide ribosomal RNA is filed under the name uncultured Eurotiales. RNAcentral describes it as "eukaryotic LSU rRNA". The stretch from base 217 to 370 matches the Rfam family "5.8S ribosomal RNA". Lineage: Eukaryota; Fungi; Ascomycota; Eurotiomycetes; Eurotiales. The record is from RNAcentral.
UCCGUAGGUGAACCUGCGGAAGGAUCAUUACCGAGUGCGGGUCCUUUGGGCCCAACCCCCCAUCCGUGUCUAUUGUACCCUGUUGCUUCGGCGGGCCCGCCGCUUGUCGGCCGCCGGGGGGGCGCCUCUGCCCCCCGGGCCCGUGCCCGCCGGAGACCCCAACACGAACACUGUCUGAAAGCGUGCAGUCUGAGUUGAUUGAAUGCAAUCAGUUAAAACUUUCAACAAUGGAUCUCUUGGUUCCGGCAUCGAUGAAGAACGCAGCGAAAUGCGAUAACUAAUGUGAAUUGCAGACUUCAGUGAAUCAUCGAGUCUUUGAACGCACAUUGCGCCCCCUGGUAUUCCGGGGGGCAUGCCUGUCCGAGCGUCAUUGCUGCCCUCAAGCCCGGCUUGUGUGUUGGGUCGCCGUCCCCCUCUCCGGGGGGACGGGCCCGAAAGGCAGCGGCGGCACCGCGUCCGAUCCUCGAGCGUAUGGGGCUUUGUCACAUGCUCUGUAGGAUUGGCCGGCGCCUGCCGACGUUUUCCAACCAUUCUUUCCAGGUUGACCUCGGAUCAGGUAGGGAUACCCGCUGAACUUAAGCAUAUCAAUAAGCGGAGGA